This 198-nucleotide ribosomal RNA is filed under the name uncultured bacterium. Its description in RNAcentral is "partial 16S ribosomal RNA". It matches the Rfam family "Bacterial small subunit ribosomal RNA", at positions 328 to 539 of the family's 1533-position model. The record is from RNAcentral.
ACGCUCGACACCUACUGGAGGCAGCAGUGGGGAAUAUUGCACAAUGGGGGAAACCCUGAUGCAGCGACGCCGCGUGAGCGAAGAAGUAUUUCGGUAUGUAAAGCUCUAUCAGCAGGGAAGAAACUGACGGUACCUGACUAAGAAGCACCGGCUAAAUACGUGCUAGCAGCCGCGGUAAUCUGAGCGGGCUGGCAAGGC